This 433-nucleotide ribosomal RNA is filed under the name uncultured bacterium. Its description in RNAcentral is "bacterial SSU rRNA". It matches the Rfam family "Bacterial small subunit ribosomal RNA", at positions 29 to 507 of the family's 1533-position model. The record is from RNAcentral.
AACGAACGCUGGCGGCAUGCCUAACACAUGCAAGUCGAACGAGACCUUCGGGUCUAGUGGCGCACGGGUGCGUAACGCGUGGGAAUCUGCCCUUGGGUUCGGAAUAACAGCGAGAAAUUGCUGCUAAUACCGGAUGAUGACGUAAGUCCAAAGAUUUAUCGCCCAAGGAUGAGCCCGCGUAGGAUUAGCUAGUUGGUGAGGUAAAAGGCUCACCAAGGCGACGAUCCUUAGCUGGUCUGAGAGGAUGAUCAGCCACACUGGGACUGAGACACGGCCCAGACUCCUACGGGAGGCAGCAGUGGGGAAUAUUGGACAAUGGGCGAGAGCCUGAUCCAGCAAUGCCGCGUGAGUGAUGAAGGCCUAGGGUUGUAAAGCUCUUUACCCGGGAUGAUAAUGACAGUACCGGGAGGAAUAAGCUCCGGCUAACUCCGUG